AACGAACGCUGGCGGCAUGCCUAACACAUGCAAGUCGAACGAGACCUUCGUGUCUAGUGGCGCACGGGUGCGUAACGCGUGGGAACCUGCCCUUAGGUUCGGAAUAACUCCCCGAAAGGGGUGCUAAUACCGGAUAAUGUCUUCGGACCAAAGAUUUAUCGCGUUGGGAUGGGCCCGCGUUGGCUUAGCUAGUUGGUAGUGUAAAAGCCUACCAAGGGGACGAUUCAUAGCUGGUCUGGGAGGAUGAUCAGCCAGACUGGGACUGAGACACGGACCAGACUCCUACGGGAGGCAGCAGUGGGGAAUAUUGGACACUGAGCGAAAGCCUGAUCCAGCAAUGCCGCGUGAGUGAUGAAGGCCUUAGGGUUGUAAAGCUCUUUUACCCGGGAUGAUAAUGACAGUACCGGGAGAAUAAGCACCGGCUAACUCCGUG
Molecule: ribosomal RNA, 433 nt
Filed under: uncultured bacterium
Lineage: Bacteria
Description: partial 16S ribosomal RNA
Rfam family: Bacterial small subunit ribosomal RNA
Source: RNAcentral